This 253-nucleotide ribosomal RNA is filed under the name uncultured bacterium. RNAcentral describes it as "partial 16S ribosomal RNA". It matches the Rfam family "Bacterial small subunit ribosomal RNA", at positions 524 to 776 of the family's 1533-position model. The record is from RNAcentral.
UACGUAGGUGGCGAGCGUUGUCCGGAAUUACUGGGUGUAAAGGGAGCGCAGGCGGGAAGCCAAGUCAGCUGUGAAAACUACGGGCUUAACUUGUAGACUGCAGUUGAAACUGGUUUUCUUGAGUGAAGUAGAGGUUGGCGGAAUUCCGAGUGUAGCGGUGAAAUGCGUAGAUAUUCGGAGGAACACCGGUGGCGAAGGCGGCCAACUGGGCUUUAACUGACGCUGAGGCACGAAAGCGUGGGUAUCGAACAGG